ACUAUUGAGUUCACCAAUAGCCUGGCUAACAUCAGACCUUAUCUCAUUGAGAUGGGAUCUGGGAACUAGACAUUCAUUUUCUCGUAUUUGAAACGUGGU
This is a long non-coding RNA of Alosa sapidissima (American shad), 99 nucleotides long. RefSeq lists it as uncharacterized. NCBI's taxonomy places the organism in Eukaryota, Metazoa, Chordata, Actinopteri, Clupeiformes, Clupeidae. The transcript has 3 exons. The record is from RefSeq and is a predicted model, not a curated record.